GAAAUGGCUCAACUUGGUAGAGCACUUGGUUUGGGACCAAGGGGUUGCAGGUUCAAAUCCUGUUUUCC
RNAcentral lists this transfer RNA (68 nucleotides) under human gut metagenome. It matches the Rfam family "tRNA". From Rfam's summary of the family: Transfer RNA (tRNA) molecules are approximately 80 nucleotides in length. Their secondary structure includes four short double-helical elements and three loops (D, anti-codon, and T loops). The record is from RNAcentral. RNAcentral also lists the same sequence under 4 other names.